GCCUGAUUACCUCAGUGGUUAGAGCACUGCAUGGUCUUGUAAACCCGAGGGGUACGGAGUUCAAUUUUCUGAUGGGGCU
RNAcentral lists this transfer RNA (79 nucleotides) under Paramuricea clavata. Its description in RNAcentral is "tRNA-Thr". Lineage: Eukaryota; Metazoa; Cnidaria; Anthozoa; Malacalcyonacea; Plexauridae. The record is from RNAcentral.